CCUACGGGGGACUGCAGUCGAGAAUCAUUCACAAUGGGGGAAACCCUGAUGGUGCGACGCCGCGUGGGGGAAUGAAGGUCUUCGGAUUGUAAACCCCUGUCAUGUGGGAGCAAAUUAAAAAGAUAGUACCACAAGAGGAAGAGACGGCUAACUCUGUGCCAGCAGCCGCGGUAAUACAGAGGUCUCAAGCGUUGUUCGGAAUCACUGGGCGUAAAGCGUGCGUAGGCUGUUUCGUAAGUCGUGUGUGAAAGGCGCGGGCUCAACCCGCGGACGGCACAUGAUACUGCGAGACUAGAGUAAGGGAGGGGGAACCGGAAUUCUCGGUGUAGCAGUGAAAUGCGUAGAUAUCGAGAGGAACACUCGUGGCGAAGGCGGGUUCCUGGACAUUAACUGACGCUGAGGCACGAAGGCCAGGGGAGCGAAAGGGAUUAGAUACCCCUGUAGUC
RNAcentral lists this ribosomal RNA (446 nucleotides) under uncultured bacterium. RNAcentral's name for it is "partial 16S ribosomal RNA". It matches the Rfam family "Bacterial small subunit ribosomal RNA", at positions 338 to 795 of the family's 1533-position model. The record is from RNAcentral.